Long non-coding RNA from Dicentrarchus labrax (European seabass), 236 nucleotides. RefSeq lists it as uncharacterized. The record is from RefSeq and is a predicted model, not a curated record. The transcript has 3 exons. NCBI's taxonomy places the organism in Eukaryota, Metazoa, Chordata, Actinopteri, Moronidae.
CGUAUAGAACCAUAGAACCAGAGUUACGUACCACUCUGGAGGUCGUAUAGAACCAUAGAACCAGAGUUACGUACCACUCUGGAGGUCGUAUAGAACCAUAGAACCAGAGUUACGUACCACUCUGGAGGUCGUAUAGAACCAUAGAACCAGAGUUACGUACCACUCUGGAGGUCGUAUAGAACCAUAGAACCAGAGUUACGUACCACUCUGGAGGUCGUAUAGAACCAUAGAACCAG